UCAGCCACUGUGUCCCCUCCUU
RNAcentral lists this microRNA (22 nucleotides) under Mus musculus (house mouse). RNAcentral describes it as "mmu-miR-12185-3p". Lineage: Eukaryota; Metazoa; Chordata; Mammalia; Rodentia; Muridae. The record is from miRBase by way of RNAcentral.